GGGGGUGUAGCUCAGUGGUAGAGUGCAUGCUUUGCAUGCAUGAGGCCCUGGGUUCGAUGCCCAGCACCUCCA
This 72-nucleotide transfer RNA is filed under the name Mustela putorius furo (domestic ferret). Its description in RNAcentral is "tRNA-Ala (TGC) (tRNA-Ala-TGC-5-1)". It matches the Rfam family "tRNA". Rfam says of the family: Transfer RNA (tRNA) molecules are approximately 80 nucleotides in length. Their secondary structure includes four short double-helical elements and three loops (D, anti-codon, and T loops). The record is from Rfam by way of RNAcentral. Lineage: Eukaryota; Metazoa; Chordata; Mammalia; Carnivora; Mustelidae.